AGAGUGGUGGCCGAGCGGUCGAAGGCGCACGCCUGGAAAGCGUGUAUACCUCAAAAGGGUAUCGAGGGUUCGAAUCCCUUCCUCUCUGCAA
RNAcentral lists this transfer RNA (91 nucleotides) under Gelidibacter salicanalis. RNAcentral's name for it is "tRNA-Ser". It matches the Rfam family "tRNA". Rfam says of the family: Transfer RNA (tRNA) molecules are approximately 80 nucleotides in length. Their secondary structure includes four short double-helical elements and three loops (D, anti-codon, and T loops). Lineage: Bacteria; Pseudomonadati; Bacteroidota; Flavobacteriia; Flavobacteriales; Flavobacteriaceae. The record is from RNAcentral.